RNAcentral lists this small RNA (35 nucleotides) under Bombyx mori (domestic silkworm). RNAcentral describes it as "ovarian small RNA-5257". Lineage: Eukaryota; Metazoa; Arthropoda; Insecta; Lepidoptera; Bombycidae. The record is from RNAcentral.
GCACUGCUGGUGUAGUGGUAUCAUGCAAGAUUCCA